GUCCUGGAAGGAGCCUCCCACCCGGGCGUCCGCAUGAUCCCGUUGAAAUCAAGGAAGCAGGUGGUACUACUACAAGUAAUAAUCCGGAAGAAGCAACUUUGCAGAAUCUUCUUGCUCAGGAAUCCUGUUGCAAGUUCCCAUCGUCCCAGGAACUAGAGGAUGCCUCCUGCUGUUCUCUUAAGAAAGAUUCCAACCCAAUGGUAAUUAUGCUAAAGAAGAUGUGUAGGACUAACAUUAUACUAAAUGCUGGACCCCAUCAUUACUAAGUCGACUGAUCAUUUCACUCGUU
This 289-nucleotide long non-coding RNA is filed under the name Homo sapiens (human). RNAcentral's name for it is "non-protein coding lnc-CPT1A-1:1". The record is from RNAcentral. Lineage: Eukaryota; Metazoa; Chordata; Mammalia; Primates; Hominidae.